Molecule: ribosomal RNA, 252 nt
Filed under: uncultured Bacteroidales bacterium
Lineage: Bacteria; Pseudomonadati; Bacteroidota; Bacteroidia; Bacteroidales
Description: partial 16S ribosomal RNA
Rfam family: Bacterial small subunit ribosomal RNA
Source: RNAcentral
UACGGAGGAUGCGAGCGUUAUCCGGAUUUAUUGGGUUUAAAGGGUGCGUAGGCGGAACAUUAAGUCAGCGGUAAAAUCGAGGGGCUCAACCCCUUUAAGCCGUUGAAACUGGUGAUCUUGAGUGGGCGAGAAGUAUGCGGAAUGCGUGGUGUAGCGGUGAAAUGCAUAGAUAUCACGCAGAACUCCGAUUGCGAAGGCAGCUUACCAAGCUACUUCUGACGUUGAGGCACGAAAGCGUGGGGAGCAAACAGG